GCGCCCGUAGCUCAGGGGACAGAGCGCCUGACUACGGAUCAGGAGGCCGUGGGUUCAAAUCCUACCGGGCGCACCA
This 76-nucleotide transfer RNA is filed under the name Thermaerobacter sp. RNAcentral's name for it is "tRNA-Arg". It matches the Rfam family "tRNA". From Rfam's summary of the family: Transfer RNA (tRNA) molecules are approximately 80 nucleotides in length. Their secondary structure includes four short double-helical elements and three loops (D, anti-codon, and T loops). The record is from RNAcentral. Lineage: Bacteria; Bacillati; Bacillota; Clostridia; Eubacteriales; Clostridiales Family XVII. Incertae Sedis.